GUUUAAAUAGCUUAUAAUUAGAGCAUAGCAUUGAAGAUGCUAGGGAGGUAGUUUACCUUUGAACA
This 65-nucleotide transfer RNA is filed under the name Ephemera orientalis (oriental mayfly). Its description in RNAcentral is "tRNA-Phe". It matches the Rfam family "tRNA". Rfam says of the family: Transfer RNA (tRNA) molecules are approximately 80 nucleotides in length. Their secondary structure includes four short double-helical elements and three loops (D, anti-codon, and T loops). Further hydrogen bonds mediate the characteristic L-shaped molecular structure. tRNAs have two regions of fundamental functional importance: the anti-codon, which is responsible for specific mRNA codon recognition, and the 3' end, to which the tRNAs corresponding amino acid is attached (by aminoacyl-tRNA synthetases). tRNAs cope with the degeneracy of the genetic code in two manners: having more than one tRNA (with a specific anti-codon) for a particular amino acid; and 'wobble' base-pairing, i.e. permitting non-standard base-pairing at the 3rd anti-codon position. The record is from RNAcentral. Lineage: Eukaryota; Metazoa; Arthropoda; Insecta; Ephemeroptera; Ephemeridae.